CAAACUUGGUCAUUUAGAGGAAGUAAAAGUCGUAACAAGGUUUCCGUAGGUGAACCUGCGGAAGGAUCAUUCAUAAUAAGUGUUUUAUGGCACUUUUUAAAUCCAUAUCCACCUUGUGUGCAAUGUCAGUUGAUCUUCUUUAUGGAGAUCGACCAAACAUCAACCUAUUUUUUUAACUCUUUGUCUGAAAAAUAUUAUGAAUAAAUAAUUCAAAAUACAACUUUCAACAACGGAUCUCUUGGCUCUCGCAUCGAUGAAGAACGCAGCGAAAUGCGAUACGUAAUGUGAAUUGCAGAAUUCAGUGAAUCAUCGAAUCUUUGAACGCAUAUUGCGCUCUUUGGUAUUCCGAAGAGCAUGCUUGUUUGAGUAUCAGUAAACACCUCAAAGCUUUUGAUUUUUUUUAAAAGUUUUGGACUUGAGCAAUCCCAACACCAGUCUUUUACAGAUCGGCGGCGGGUUGCUUGAAAUGCAGGUGCAGCUGGACAUUCUCCUGAGCUAAAAGCAUAUUUAUUUAGUCCCGUCAAACGGAUUAUUACUUUUGCUGCAGCUAAUAUAAAGGGAGUUUGACCGUAUUGGCUGACUGAUGCAGGAUUUCACAAGGGUCGGCAACGAUUCUUGUAAAACUCGAUCUCAAAUCAAGUAAGACUACCCGCUGAACUUAAGCAUAUCAAUAAGCGGAG
This 680-nucleotide ribosomal RNA is filed under the name uncultured Mortierella. RNAcentral describes it as "eukaryotic LSU rRNA". The stretch from base 219 to 372 matches the Rfam family "5.8S ribosomal RNA". The record is from RNAcentral. Lineage: Eukaryota; Fungi; Mortierellomycota; Mortierellomycetes; Mortierellales; Mortierellaceae.